UUGGUUCUGAGCAGCUAUCAUAGAUUCCAUCGAUGCCGUAAGUCUGGAGAUCUCAUCCUUCCUCUCUCUAUUUUCUUGCUAUAGAUGCUCCAUUCUUCUCAAUUGAUUAGCUUGAGUGUUAUAGUGAUGAGUCAGCUUGGCUGAUACACAGAAGAAGAACUGAUAAGACAUAUGGAGGAAGAAACAUGUUAUGCAAAUGAUGCAUGAAAUGCAAUGUUUUUUAUUGUUUUU
This 231-nucleotide long non-coding RNA is filed under the name Lathyrus oleraceus (garden pea). RNAcentral describes it as "Pisum sativum (pea) long non-coding RNA (PSAT_LNC017602)". Lineage: Eukaryota; Viridiplantae; Streptophyta; Magnoliopsida; Fabales; Fabaceae. The record is from RNAcentral.